This 282-nucleotide ribosomal RNA is filed under the name Bacillus sp. ZAN2. RNAcentral's name for it is "partial 16S ribosomal RNA". It matches the Rfam family "Bacterial small subunit ribosomal RNA", at positions 73 to 346 of the family's 1533-position model. Lineage: Bacteria; Bacillati; Bacillota; Bacilli; Caryophanales; Bacillaceae. The record is from RNAcentral.
UAAGAGCUUGCUCUUAUGAAGUUAGCGGCGGACGGGUGAGUAACACGUGGGUAACCUGCCCAUAAGACUGGGAUAACUCCGGGAAACCGGGGCUAAUACCGGAUAACAUUUUGAACCGCAUGGUUCGAAAUUGAAAGGCGGCUUCGGCUGUCACUUAUGGAUGGACCCGCGUCGCAUUAGCUAGUUGGUGAGGUAACGGCUCACCAAGGCAACGAUGCGUAGCCGACCUGAGAGGGUGAUCGGCCACACUGGGACUGAGACACGGCCCAGACUCCUACGGGA